AGAUUGAAUUUGGUAUUGAUGAAGCAAACAAUAAUAACGGUAACUCCAGUGAAAUGACUUGAAACUUGUUAGUGACGACUAGAUUAGGAGUGUAUUUAAAGCUGAUUCUGGUUUC
This is a long non-coding RNA of Etheostoma spectabile (orangethroat darter), 115 nucleotides long. RefSeq lists it as uncharacterized. The record is from RefSeq and is a predicted model, not a curated record. NCBI's taxonomy places the organism in Eukaryota, Metazoa, Chordata, Actinopteri, Perciformes, Percidae. The transcript is spliced from 3 exons.